UGGUCAGUGGAAUUCUGCUGUUUAUGGAAAAUCUGAAGGAACAUCUCCCAGAAUUUACCACCAUGUUGCCCUGAUGAUUAAGGACUUUUUUUGGACUUUCCUGCCUCUUUGGAUCAUUUUUCCAUUCACACAGACUGUAGAGAGAUGGUGUGCAGCUUCAUGACGUGAUGUUUAGUGCCGAUGGAGAGCUUCUGGGACAUUGACAGACAGCACUUCCCAGCAAGUUCAUUUGGAGUUCUUUUUUUUUAUUAAUUAAUUAAUUUAGUCAAGCUUACAUUCACUAAUGCUGGAGUAAGAUUUUAGAAAAUUUUCAGUCCUGUUUAAUGUUGGUGCUAGUAAAGGUUUGAGAACUAAUGGCCUGGUUUCACAGACAGGGCUUAGACUAAGCCAGGAUCAUAGUUCAAUAAGGACAUUUAAAUCAUUUUCUUUGACAUGCCUUAGAAAAAAACAUUACUAGUGUGCUUCUUCAGACAUUUUUAAAGAUCAGUCAGUGCAAGUUUAUAUCAGUUGAAACAGCUCAGAAUUACAUUUUAGUCUUGGGCUGGUUUUAAGCCUUGUCUGUGAAACCUGGUGUACAAGUAACCCACUAUGCUAAUGUUUUAAAAUAAGGUCUCAUUUGUUGGACAUGGAUAGAUAAUAUUCUUUCUUUUUUUAUUGAAUGUGUGUCAUUUGUGUUAGUAAUCCUAUAUGUUAUGGUGACCAGUAAAUUUUGACCUCGUGGACAUUUUUAGGUCCCCAAUGAGGAAACAGGUCUACACAUCUUACAAAAAUGAUGUUUUCCAUGAUGGUCAAAUUAGCAUUGUUCUCUAGACUCGUUCUAAUAAGUGAGUUGAAGUGUUGUAACUGUAUAGUGUUGGGUUUUUUGUUGUGCAUCAGCAAAAAGCAUUUUUGUGUAUUUGUUUGUCAAUUUGUCAAUAAAUGUUGAGGGUUUAC
Long non-coding RNA from Carassius auratus (goldfish), 933 nucleotides. RefSeq lists it as uncharacterized. NCBI's taxonomy places the organism in Eukaryota, Metazoa, Chordata, Actinopteri, Cypriniformes, Cyprinidae. The record is from RefSeq and is a predicted model, not a curated record. The transcript has 2 exons.